AUGGCGUGAAGAGGCUGGCUAUAUGCCAGUGGUCGUGGACUUGGAGCAUAUCCAGAGACAUUAGUUCCAGGUAUCCAAGAUGGUGGCCUGUUGCAGCAAGAGAUGCUGUCAGAUCUGCUCACUUUCUCCAGCCCUUUCUUUUUUAUUUCUUCUUCAAUGCUAAUCAUCUUCUCCAAACAAAAGAUAUUCCAAUGGAUAGUCAAAUGGGUCGAAGCCAUGCCUGCACUUCUGUGAGGUGCUGCCAGAUCUGCACAGUUUCUACACCAUUCUCAUUGUAUCUCUCAGAUUUCCAGCAUCUGCAGUAUUUUGCCUUUAUUCAAAAG
Chiloscyllium plagiosum (whitespotted bambooshark) is the source of this 323-nucleotide non-coding RNA. The record is from RefSeq and is a predicted model, not a curated record. Lineage: Eukaryota; Metazoa; Chordata; Chondrichthyes; Orectolobiformes; Hemiscylliidae.